RNAcentral lists this transfer RNA (88 nucleotides) under Flavobacterium psychrophilum. RNAcentral's name for it is "tRNA-Leu". It matches the Rfam family "tRNA". From Rfam's summary of the family: Transfer RNA (tRNA) molecules are approximately 80 nucleotides in length. Their secondary structure includes four short double-helical elements and three loops (D, anti-codon, and T loops). Further hydrogen bonds mediate the characteristic L-shaped molecular structure. tRNAs have two regions of fundamental functional importance: the anti-codon, which is responsible for specific mRNA codon recognition, and the 3' end, to which the tRNAs corresponding amino acid is attached (by aminoacyl-tRNA synthetases). tRNAs cope with the degeneracy of the genetic code in two manners: having more than one tRNA (with a specific anti-codon) for a particular amino acid; and 'wobble' base-pairing, i.e. permitting non-standard base-pairing at the 3rd anti-codon position. RNAcentral also lists the same sequence under 6 other names. The record is from RNAcentral. Lineage: Bacteria; Pseudomonadati; Bacteroidota; Flavobacteriia; Flavobacteriales; Flavobacteriaceae.
GCUUGGGUGGUGAAAUUGGUAGACACGCUGGACUUAAAAUCCAGUGACUGUAAUGGUCGUACGGGUUCAAGUCCCGUCCCGAGUACAA